CCGCAGCCGCAGAUGUAUUUCAGUUCUUUGAAAGUGUGGUCAUCUGUUCUCAAAAUAUCUUUCAAGCACAUUAGCCUGCUGAAAUGCAAAACAUCGUGUAGGAAUUACUGUGAAAGUCUUCUUGUUAUUUGGUGAAUGUUUUUUUUCUAAAAUACUUUUUUUAUUCGUAAAGUGACUGUGUGUUUACGAACGAAAGUUAUCAUAACUUAUCGUUGUUAAGUUUUCUUCAAAGUUUGUUAAGUUGUGUUAAAGUGCCAAGGAGUAAAAGAAAGACCUUGACAAUUGAUAGUUUAUUUCUGAAAUGAAGUUUUUCUCUAAACACCUAGUGUCGAUGCUGUGAUUUUUAGUUUGCAAUGGCUGCAUCCAUUAUGGAGUUGCCAGACAACUCAUCGGGUAUCAAUAUUAGUGAUGUCAUUGAAGUUAUAGAGACUGAUUGCAACAGCAUGGAUUCGACCAGACGAGAGGGUCCUUACAUCAAGAUUGUUGAACAACCUGCGUCCAAAGCACUUAGAUUUCGUUACGAGUGUGAAGGAAGAUCGGCUGGAAGUAUUCCAGGUGUAAAUAGCUCUACAGAGAACAAGACUUAUCCUACAAUACAGAUUAAAAAUUACAAAGGGAAAGUAGUGGUUGUGGUUUCGUGUGUGACCAAAGAUGCACCCUAUAAACCCCACCCCCACAACCUUGUUGGCCGAGAAGGUUGCAAAAGGGGAGUCUGUACUCUUGAGAUUCACAAUGACACAAUGACCCAAAGUUUCGACCAUCUUGGAAUUCAAUGUGUGAAAAAGAAAGAUAUUGAAGACGCCCUCAGGAUAAGAGAAGAGAUAAGAGUUGACCCUUUUAAAACUGGUUUCUCACACAGGACACAGGCGGGCUCGAUAGACUUGAAUGCUGUCAGAUUAUGUUUUCAGGCCUUCUUAGAGGACAGACCAAAUUCUGGAACAUUUACAAUUCCAUUGGUGCCUGUUGUUUCAGAAAUCAUCUAUGACAAAAAAGCACUUUGUGAUCUAGCCAUCUGCAGGCUGAGCCAUAGCUCUGCCACAGUGGCGGGGGGUCUGGAGAUGAUAUUGCUCUGCGAAAAAGUUCUCAAAGAGGACAUUGCAGUGAGGUUGUACGAGGAGAAGAACGGAGAAAUAGUGUGGGCGGCCAACUGUGAGUUCACCCCGGCCCAGGUACAUAAACAGGUGGCCAUCACGUUCAAGACCCCACGCUACCACACUAUGCAGGUGGACAAGCCAGUUCAGGUGUUUAUCCAACUACAGCGACCUUCCGACCAUGAGACCAGCGAACCCUUGCCCUUCCAACUGACUCCACUAGACUCAGGUAGGCCUGCGUUCUGGUCCCUCCGUCGCUACCGCGCCGACUAUCGCACCUUCUCUCACAUCCUGUCUGCUGAUACUAAGCUGCUGACAAAGGUUGACAAUGUUGACAACCUCAUCCCUGACACUGAAGAGGCACAAGACACCAACAACAACAGUCAUCCGACCAAACCUCAGCCUUCAUUAACAAUUGUUGACCAAUCGUCUCCCAAACCGAUGGAGGUUCAACCCCAACCUCCAUAUACGGAGGUAGACACUGUUGUCGAUAGUUGUCCGAUCGAGCUAAACAACGAGGUUAAAAGAUUUGAGGAUGUCGCAAGCUUAGUGGACAAUGUUGAGCAGAGUUUUGACGACCUGAUCAACGAAGUUGACGACUUUGACGAAAUAAUGAGUUCAGAAUUGAACCAAGAAAUUCCAACCGUAAAUGAUGGAAUUUACAGCAGUUUCCAAAUGGCAAUGAAGAAUCCAUUUGAGUUUGUCGACAUGAAUACAUCAGGAUACGAGGAUGUACUUCCUCCUCCCCCCAGGCCUUUAGAGCCGAAACCUCUCAUUAGGGAUCAGAUAUUCACGGAAAUGCAAAACGACGAUAUUCUCCCUCCUCUUCCCCCGAAGAGAAUCAGGAAAUCUCCUCCGAACAAAAACCUACCUCCUGUUCCAGAAGGGAAAAAGUUGAAUAUAUUUCAAAAACUAUUCUCUUCCAAAAGGAAAGAUAAAUCACGGAAAAAUAGUGUUAGCUCGAUGGGCAGCAGAAGGUCGUUGGUGGAUGACAAGUCUGUUGUUGAGCCUGAUGAAGUUACGUUGACUGAAGCUGAACAUUACGCUUUGUACACAGCAUUAGCUCCUCAUGCUACUGCCUCUGAGUUUGACGAAGCCUCGUUCUACUACAGCCCUGUCGAAGGCUUGUCCCAAACUGUCAAAUGAAGCCUUUAGGGCUACAAAUGUUUUGUACGGAUAGCAAUAUAAUCAGGAAUAUGAAAUAUUUUCCUAAAUGCUAUACAUUUAUAUCAAAAGCUUAGCUGAUAAGUUUUUGUAUUUAAUAUUUUAAGAAACGAUUAUUUUCGUAGUCUAGUCAAAGAUGCUGAACUAUUUACUCUUUUAUAUCGAUGUGACUAAUCUAUAAAUUAUGUUGGAAUUGUACACUUGUUGGAUAUGCCAGUGAAGGAUAUUUGGCACUAAAGAUAAAUAUUAGAAAUGCAGAAUGCAUUGCUAUGACUGUUGUUAAGUUUGCGUAGAGUUUAUGCGAGUUUGAGAGAAAGUCCUGCUGUGAUAACCUCUUUCAGUGAGUACAGAUUGUGGUUUGACAUUGUGUUGUAGAAAGCUAACAAUAACUAAUGACUUUUGAGUUUUUACCUUAUCAAUAAGCUAUUAAAAAGCUUCUUAUGUGUAUGUGGUACUAUUUUAACUAACAUUUUGGAAAUAACCUUUUUUUAUGCUAUGUGAUUUAUUUAAAGCAUGUAUGCAUUCUUUUUUUGGACACCAGACACAAUCUCAUUCUCAAAACAUGCAAUAAAUGGCCUGCUUUUAUUUGUGUUCGGAGUUUAAAGAUAUAAAAACUACUUUGAUCAUUACCACCCACCAUUAUAUCCCUAUUGCUGACCAAACAUUUGGUUGAAUCAAUAAAGAAAUCUACACAAACACCCGAUUAAAAAGAUUUAUAGUUUUACUCUAUUCGGCAGCAACGUUUUACUCAACACUUUGUACUAUACACACUUGUCCCCCUGCACCUAACAGCUAAAUACAAUAGCAUCAGACUAUAUUUGCUAUGUUUGCUGUGGUUAUUUUGAUUUCAGUUACAUUUUUAUAUUUAGUUUUGUUAAUGUGAUUAAUUUAACCCUACACCCCACUCCCUUCCAAUUCCAGUUUUCCAAUUGCUGGAUAAAGUAUUUUUAUUCAUUUUCAAGCAAUUUUGGGGUUUUCUCACAAAAUACAAAUGGUAAACGUAAUACUGGGCUUGUCAAGUUUUGGGUGCAAAGUUUUAAUUUUCUAUCCUUCAAUUUUCUGGCCUAAAUUAAGUUUUUUACCUUGAUAGAUCCACCGACUUUCUUUGCGGACUCAAUAUUUGAAAGCAGUUUCUUGUCAACUUCAUAUCAGGAUUUUUAAAACAUAUUUUUCUCUCUUUGCACAACAGAUGUUCAGAUUUUAAGGCAGAGCCAUGUAGCUGACUGAAAAAUAUUAUUUGAGAAGGGAGAAUUCAGCAAGCUUACCAAAUAAAAUAUAAUUCAGGAUGAAUAAAUACCCAAGAUUGGUUACAUUUACAUAACCUAGUAAGCAAAAGGGUGUUGGUUAGAUCCUCAGAAAGGUUAGUAGAUUUUUGAUGGCUAAAAACCGGACCCAACUGUCCUUAAUCUUCCUGUAUAAUAAAGCAGAUGGUCUUGGCCACUAUAAGAGCUUUUAUUUUUCAAUUAUCUGUCACAUGUAGCCGAAAUAUCCGAUCUGGUGAGUUACUGAGGGCCGGAUUUGUGAGAUAUUUUCAAAGUAGGUAUUUAUUUUCUUAUGUAAGGUAGCUGAACUAUCUCUUUUUCCAAAGGGAUAAAGUUAAACAUCUUAUAUAAUAUUUCUCUUGUGUCUUAACUGGAAACCCAAAUGACAAUCCUUAGUUAAAUAAAUAAACUUUAAAAAUGUAUACAUUAUCAUCAAACAGCAAUUCACCCUUCAAUUCCUCUUCUCCCGAGUUUGUUUUGAUUUGCGUUCACACCUGAUUGCAUGGCUUGUGUUGUUAGGUUCUGUGUCAGGGGAGCAGCUAAACCGCAAGAAGCCACGGUUGAACGAUGUCGAUCGUUUGCUGAUUGCAGACAAGGACCCAUUACGUGCAAGCCCUCGAUUGUCCCCGGGGCCCACUGUCA
RNA transcript from Macrosteles quadrilineatus (aster leafhopper), 4159 nucleotides. It is a transcript of the gene named embryonic polarity protein dorsal-like, with no coding region annotated. Lineage: Eukaryota; Metazoa; Arthropoda; Insecta; Hemiptera; Cicadellidae. The record is from RefSeq and is a predicted model, not a curated record. The transcript is spliced from 10 exons.